GAUGAACGCUGGCGGCGUGCCUAAUACAUGCAAGUCGAGCGAACAGACGAGGAGCUUGCUCCUCUGACGUUAGCGGCGGACGGGUGAGUAACACGUGGAUAACCUACCUAUAAGACUGGGAUAACUUCGGGAAACCGGAGCUAAUACCGGAUAACAUGUUGAACCGCAUGGUUUAACAGUGAAAGACGGUCUUGCUGUCACUUAUAGAUGGAUCCGCGCCGCAUUAGCUAGUUGGUAAGGUAACGGCUUACCAAGGCAACGAUGCGUAGCCGACCUGAGAGGGUGAUCGGCCACACUGGAACUGAGACACGGUCCAGACUCCUACGGGAGGCAGCAGUAGGGAAUCUUCCGCAAUGGGCGAAAGCCUGACGGAGCAACGCCGCGUGAGUGAAGAAGGUCUUCGGAUCGUAAAACUCUGUUAUUAGGGAAGAACAAAUGUGUAAGUAACUAUGCACGUCUUGACGGUACCUAAACAGAAAGCCACGGCUAACUACGUG
RNAcentral lists this ribosomal RNA (497 nucleotides) under uncultured bacterium. Its description in RNAcentral is "partial 16S ribosomal RNA". It matches the Rfam family "Bacterial small subunit ribosomal RNA", at positions 28 to 507 of the family's 1533-position model. The record is from RNAcentral.